AAUCAUUCUGGUAUAAAGACACAUGCACUCGUAUGUUCACUGAGGUACUGUGUACAAUAGCAAAGACCUGGAACCAAUCCGAAUGCCCAUCAACGAUAGACUGGACAAAGAAACUGUGGCAAUAUACACCAUGGAAUACUACUCAGACAUAAAAAA
This is a long non-coding RNA of Cebus imitator (Panamanian white-faced capuchin), 156 nucleotides long. RefSeq lists it as uncharacterized. The transcript has 3 exons. The record is from RefSeq and is a predicted model, not a curated record. Lineage: Eukaryota; Metazoa; Chordata; Mammalia; Primates; Cebidae.